This 522-nucleotide long non-coding RNA is filed under the name Sarcophilus harrisii (Tasmanian devil). Its description in RNAcentral is "lncRNA (ENSSHAG00000024655.1)". The record is from RNAcentral. Lineage: Eukaryota; Metazoa; Chordata; Mammalia; Dasyuromorphia; Dasyuridae.
GAGUUUGUGAUAAACGAGGGACUGUGUUAAACCCAGAAAUACCAAGAAAAGCAAAAACAUGAUGCCUAUCUUUAAAGAGCUACCAUUCUAAUGGAAGGAAGUUUGGAGACUACGUCGGAAAGAGGAGCUAAAGAGAAAUUAAAGAAGACACAGAAGAAAAAAUAAUUAAAGGAUCUUUUUUGAGGAAGCUCUUUUCAAGUUGAUUUUUAUGAUAAAGUUUAAUUGAACUGAUUUUAGAUAUACUUAACCUUGUAUACAGGCAACUAAGUGGUGCAGAUGGAGCACUGGACUUAGAAUGAGAAAGACACACAAACCACAAUUUAGAGCUUGAUAUCUUCCAAAUGUUUCUCUAACAGUUAACAUUUCAUUAGUCCUUUACUUACAAAUUAAAACUACCCUUAUUCUGGGGCUUCAGACAUACAGUAGAUACCUGAUAUUUGAUUCAUCAUUAAUGUUGAAGCUACAUCUUUAAGCCACCCUAUACACUUUAAUAAUGGUCAGAUUUUCAAAUGAUCACAUCUU